GGGGAGGGGAGCGUGUGGGUCUGGGUGAGUGUGUGAGUGUGCAAGCUGCCACGCCAGAGAGAGCUGUAAGGCUCAAAGUACGCCGGGAGCCAGUAGCCACAGCACAGGGGCGACUCCUCUUCCCGGGGCAUGCCCUCCAGCUCGUACCGGGAUAUGCCAGGUGGCUUCCUGUUUGAAGGGCUCUCUGAUGAUGAGGAUGACUUUCACCCAGUUGGGGAGGUUCCCCAAGAACUGUUCCUGGAACGGGGGUGGGCUUCAUCUGAGAACGUCACAGGCUGCUUCCCUGAUGCUUGGUGCCUCUCUUGUUCAGAGCGCCAGGUCCACGCCCUCGAGCAGCACACCCGGCUCCCGCCCAGCUUCCCUGGGGUACAGUGGAGCUGCCGGGCCCCGGCCUAUCACCCAGAGCGAGCUGGCCACCGCCCUGGCCCUGGCCAGCACUCCGGAGAGCAGCUCUCACAUGCCAACUCCUGGCACCCAGGGCCAUUCCUCAGGGACCUCCCCGGUGUCAUCCGGCGUCCAGUCAGGGACGCCCAUCACCAAUGAUCUCUUCAGCCAAGCUCUCCAGCAUGCGCUGCAGGCCUCCGGGCAGCCCAGCCUUCAGAUGGAAACUUUAAUCUUCAGGAAAGAAUGCAGAGCAUCGGAAAUGUUAUUGAGGACUCUUCCCUGGUGGCGCAGUGGUUGAGAAUCUGCCUGCCAAUGCAGGGGACACAGGUCUAUCCCGGAUCCGGGAAAAUCCCCCUUGCCGAGGAGCAGUUAAGCCCCUGUGCCACAACUACUGAGCCUGCGCUCUAGAGCCUGCGAGUCACAACUACAGAGCCCACGUGCUGCAACCACUGAAACCCGCGCGCCUAGAGCCUGUGCUCCGCAACAAGAGAAGCCACUGCAGUAAGAAGCCCGCGCACUGCAGCGAAGAGUAGCCCCCGCUCGCCGCAACUAGAGAAAGCCGGCGCGCAGCAACGAAGACCCAAUGCAGCCAAAAGUAAAAUAUAAAUAUAAAUAAAUAAAUAAAUUUACUGAGAUUUU
Globicephala melas (long-finned pilot whale) is the source of this 1023-nucleotide RNA transcript. It is a transcript of the gene named ubiquitin-like protein 7, with no coding region annotated. Lineage: Eukaryota; Metazoa; Chordata; Mammalia; Artiodactyla; Delphinidae. The record is from RefSeq and is a predicted model, not a curated record.